GACGAACGCUGGCGGCGUGCUUAACACAUGCAAGUCGAGCGGUAAGGCCCUUUCGGGGGUACACGAGCGGCGAACGGGUGAGUAACACGUGGGUGACCUGCCCUCAGCUCUGGGAUAAAGCCCGGGAAACUGGGUCUAAUACUGGAUAUGACUCCAUGACGCAUGUUGUGGGGUGGAAAGCCUUGUGCGGCUGAGGAUGGGCCCGCGGCCUAUCAGCUUGUUGGUGGGGUGAUGGCCUACCAAGGCGACGA
RNAcentral lists this ribosomal RNA (251 nucleotides) under uncultured bacterium. Its description in RNAcentral is "partial 16S ribosomal RNA". It matches the Rfam family "Bacterial small subunit ribosomal RNA", at positions 28 to 279 of the family's 1533-position model. The record is from RNAcentral.